Molecule: non-coding RNA, 31 nt
Filed under: Mus musculus (house mouse)
Lineage: Eukaryota; Metazoa; Chordata; Mammalia; Rodentia; Muridae
Source: RNAcentral
UAGACUAAGGUUCCCCAACUCUUGUCGUGUC